CGUAGGGUGCGAGCGUUAAUCGGAAUUACUGGGCGUAAAGUGUGCGCAGGCGGCCAUGCAAGUCGAGUGUGAAAGCCCCGGGCUUAACUUGGGAAUUGCGCUCGAAACUACGUGGCUGGAGUGUGGCAGAGGAAGGUGGAAUUCCACGUGUAGCGGUGAAAUGCGUAGAGAUGUGGAGGAACACCAAUGGCGAAGGCAGCCUUCUGGGCCAACACUGACGCUCAUGCACGAAAGCGUGGGGAGCAAUCAGGAUUAGAUACCCUGGUAGUCCACGCCCUAAACGAUGACGACUAGUUGUUGGAGGAGUUAAAUCCUUUAGUAACGCAGCUAACGCGCGAAGUCGUCCGCCUGGGGAGUACGGUCGCAAGAUUA
RNAcentral lists this ribosomal RNA (372 nucleotides) under uncultured organism. RNAcentral's name for it is "bacterial SSU rRNA". It matches the Rfam family "Bacterial small subunit ribosomal RNA", at positions 526 to 896 of the family's 1533-position model. The record is from RNAcentral.